Molecule: small RNA, 345 nt
Filed under: Arabidopsis thaliana (thale cress)
Lineage: Eukaryota; Viridiplantae; Streptophyta; Magnoliopsida; Brassicales; Brassicaceae
Description: ATSL151740
Source: RNAcentral
UUUCCUAAAAUAUUUCUACCUAAUUUAAACAUAAAUAUAUAAUUCUUCUUUCACUUUUAUUUGAUCUUAUACUUUAUUUAUUUUGAAUUUAUAUAAAAUAUAUAUAGUUAAUAAAAUAUUAUAUUUUUUUCUGCAUAUGAUGUAAUUCAAAUUUUUAAAACGGACAUAUAUUAUUCAACCUAUGAAGAAAUAAUAUGUGUACAAUGUCCCACAUCGCUUAGAAAAAUUGUACAAUGGUUCAGACCCAUAUUAUAAAAGGACCAAAAUGAUUCUGAUUACGAAUGAGCAGGAAACUUGAUUUAUCAGGCGUCCAAAAUUAAAAUAGUUAUCCGAUUUACUCGGGUU